UAAUACAGAGGGUGCAAACGUUGUUCGGAAUUACUGGGCAUAAAGCGCGCGUAGGCGGCCCUGUCAGUGCGAAGUGAAAUCCCACGGCUCAACCGUGGAACUGCUUUGCAUACUGCAGGGCUCGAGGACGGUAGGGGAGAGCGGAACUCCUGGUGGAGCGGUGAAAUGCGUAGAUAUCAGGAGGAACACCGGUGGCGAAGGCGGCUCUCUGGAACGUUUCUGACGCUGAGGUGCGAAAGCCAGGGUAGCGAACGGGAUUAGAUACCCCGGUAGUCCUGGCCGUAAACGAUGGGCACUAACUAAAGGUCCCUUCCUGGGGAUCUUUGGUGAAGCAAAUGUGAUAAGUGCCCCGCCUGGGGAGUAUGGUCGCAAGGCUA
Molecule: ribosomal RNA, 377 nt
Filed under: uncultured bacterium
Lineage: Bacteria
Description: bacterial SSU rRNA
Rfam family: Bacterial small subunit ribosomal RNA
Source: RNAcentral